UGGCUGUCGUCAGCUCGUGCCGUGAGGUGUUGGGUUCAGUCCCGCAACGAGCGCAACCCUCGCCCUUUGUGCCAUCGGGUAAAGCCGGGCACUCUAAGGGGACUGCCAGCGACAAGUUGGAGGAAGGAGAGGAUGACGUCAAGUCAUCAUGGCCUUUAUGCCUAGGGCCACACACGUGCAACAAUGGCCGGUACAGACGGAGGCAAUGCCGAGAGGCGGAGCAAACCCGAGAAAACCGGUCCCAGUUCGGAUUGAGGUCUGCAACUCGACCUCAUGAAGUCGGAAUCGCUAGUAAUCGCAUAUCAGAACGAUGCGGUGAAUACGUUCCCGGGCCUUGUACACACCGCCCGUCACACCACGAAAGUUUGUUGUACCCGAAGUCGGUGCCUUAACCUCGCAAGAGGAGAGAGCCGCCCAAGGUAUGGCCGAUGAUUGGGGUGAAGUCGUAACAAGGUAGCCG
Molecule: ribosomal RNA, 460 nt
Filed under: uncultured bacterium
Lineage: Bacteria
Description: bacterial SSU rRNA
Rfam family: Bacterial small subunit ribosomal RNA
Source: RNAcentral